RNAcentral lists this ribosomal RNA (528 nucleotides) under uncultured bacterium. RNAcentral's name for it is "bacterial SSU rRNA". It matches the Rfam family "Bacterial small subunit ribosomal RNA", at positions 980 to 1509 of the family's 1533-position model. The record is from RNAcentral.
CUUGACAUCCAGCGAACUUUCCAGAGAUGGAUUGGUGCCUUCGGGAACGCUGAGACAGGUGCUGCAUGGCUGUCGUCAGCUCGUGUUGUGAAAUGUUGGGUUAAGUCCCGNAACGAGCGCAACCCUUAUCCUUUGUUGCCAGCGAUUCGGUCGGGAACUCAAAGGAGACUGCCGGUGAUAAACCGGAGGAAGUGGGGAUGACGUCAAGUCAUCAUGGCCCUUACGAGUAGGGCUACACACGUGCUACAAUGGCGCAUACAAAGAGAAGCGACCUCGCGAGAGCAAGCGGACCUCAUAAAGUGCGUCGUAGUCCGGAUCGGAGUCUGCAACUCGACUCCGUGAAGUCGGAAUCGCUAGUAAUCGUGGAUCAGAAUGCCACGGUGAAUACGUUCCCGGGCCUUGUACACACCGCCCGUCACACCAUGGGAGUGGGUUGCAAAAGAAGUAGGUAGCUUAACCUUCGGGAGGGCGCUUACCACUUUGUGAUUCAUGACUGGGGUGAAGUCGUAACAAGGUAGGCGUAGCGAG